This 357-nucleotide ribosomal RNA is filed under the name uncultured bacterium. Its description in RNAcentral is "bacterial SSU rRNA". It matches the Rfam family "Bacterial small subunit ribosomal RNA", at positions 527 to 881 of the family's 1533-position model. The record is from RNAcentral.
GUAGGGUGCGAGCGUUGUCCGGAAUNACUGGGCGUAAAGAGCUCGUAGGUGGUUUGUCGCGUCGUCUGUGAAAUUCCGGGGCUUAACUCCGGGCGUGCAGGCGAUACGGGCAAACUUGAGUACUGUAGGGGAGACUGGAAUUCCUGGUGUAGCGGUGAAAUGCGCAGAUAUCAGGAGGGACACCGGUGGCGAAGGCGGGUCUCUGGGCAGUAACUGACGCUGAGGAGCGAAAGCAUGGGGAGCGAACAGGAUUAGAUACCCUGGUAGUCCAUGCCGUAAACGGUGGGCGCUAGGUGUGGGUUUCCUUCCACGGGAUCCGUGCCGUAGCUAACGCAUUAAGCGCCCCGCCUGGGGAGU